RNAcentral lists this ribosomal RNA (208 nucleotides) under uncultured bacterium. RNAcentral's name for it is "partial 16S ribosomal RNA". It matches the Rfam family "Bacterial small subunit ribosomal RNA", at positions 568 to 775 of the family's 1533-position model. The record is from RNAcentral.
CGCGUAGGCGGUUUGUUAAGUCAGCUGUGAAAGCCCCGGGCUCAACCUGGGAACUGCAGUUGAUACUGUCCGACUAGAGUACGAGAGAGGGAGGUAGAAUUCCAUGUGUAGCGGUGAAAUGCGUAGAUAUAUGGAGGAAUACCAGUGGCGAAGGCGGCCUCCUGGCUCGAUACUGACGCUGAGGUAGCGAAAGCGUGGGAUCAAACAG